Long non-coding RNA from Octopus sinensis (East Asian common octopus), 916 nucleotides. RefSeq lists it as uncharacterized. The transcript is spliced from 2 exons. The record is from RefSeq and is a predicted model, not a curated record. Lineage: Eukaryota; Metazoa; Mollusca; Cephalopoda; Octopoda; Octopodidae.
GUUUUUGUGUUUUAUUCGUUUGUUUUAUUGAUUGUUUACGAAACUAAAACGAAGAAAUUAAAACUCAAUCACAUUUGUAAAGUGUGUAUAUCAGUAUAUGGCAAUAAAGGUAAGUAUAUAAAUGUAAAGUAUUUUGUACGAGAACAUUUACUGAAACAGGUGAUGCACUUUUACGUAAAUCUUUUCAUAAAUGAACAUCUCGCUGUAGAGGCCGCUUCAGGAGUUUCAUCACAGUUUCCCGUAAAAUCCAAUUAUGAAACACAGAUCCUCGCCAAGGCAAAUGAAGUUAUAUAUUUUGUACAUAUAUUUACUUCACCAAUAUUUCAGCAAGUCCCAUCUGUGGCUAAGGUGGGCGAAAAUUAUACAUUUUUGAAAAGAUGUGAUAAAUCUUAACGAACGUGACGAAACCCGCAAUUGAGAAAUAAACCAUCGCUUCCCUUCUGGGUACAGAACGAAUAAGGCAAUAGUAUUUAUUUCGUGAGAGGAAGUAUGUGAUAUUGCAAUGAGGUGGGUACAAGGAAACGUGAAACUCAAAGAACGAGAAAGAAGAUAACGUUCGAGAAACAGUGUUUUUUUCUGAUUUAGGGAAAUAAUAACGUGAAGAAAUAUGAUCGCUAUGAAAGUGAAUCUUAUGAUAAAUUGUUCCUGGUUUCGAUUAAUAAAAUGUUGUCUUUGGAUAAGGGCAAAACAUCAUUAGUAAACAUGUAUGACAAUGAAAUUUUUUUUUUAAAUUGUUCAAGUGUUAAAAGGGAAAACUUUUACUGUGCGUAGGAUUCUGUAAGGCCAUCAUGGAAAAAAGUGAACCAUUUCAAAUGAAAAACGUUUAUAUCCGAAAGUAAUACAUUUACAGUUUAUUUUUAAUAUUAUUUCACAUUUAUAUCUGUUUCGGAAAUAAAAUUCUUCCUUAAAAAAAAAA